RNAcentral lists this ribosomal RNA (468 nucleotides) under uncultured bacterium. Its description in RNAcentral is "partial 16S ribosomal RNA". It matches the Rfam family "Bacterial small subunit ribosomal RNA", at positions 28 to 507 of the family's 1533-position model. The record is from RNAcentral.
GACGAACGCUGGCGGCGUGCUUAACACAUGCAAGUCGAACGGAAAGGCCCUGCUUUUGUGGGGUGCUCGUUUGGCGAACGGGUGAGUAACACGCGAGUAACAUGUCCUUGUCUUUGGGAUAACUUCAGGAAACUGGGGCUAAUAUCGGAUAGGAGCUCCUGAUGCAUGGUGGGGGUUGGAAAGUUUCGGCGGUUGGGGAUGGACUCGCGGGUUAUCAGCUUGUUGGUGGGGUAGUGGCUUACCAAGGCUUUGACGGGUAGCCGGCCUGAGAGGGUGACCGGCCACAUUGGUACUGAGAUAGGGCCCAGACGCGUACGGGAGGCAGCAGUGGGAAAUAUUACGCAAUGGGCGGGAGUGUGAUGCGGCAACGCCGCGUGCGGAAUAACGGCCUUCGGGUUGUGAACCGCUUUCGCCUGAGACGAAGCGUGAGUGACGGUAAUGUGUAAAGAAGCACCGGCUAACUACGUG